This 488-nucleotide ribosomal RNA is filed under the name uncultured bacterium. RNAcentral describes it as "bacterial SSU rRNA". It matches the Rfam family "Bacterial small subunit ribosomal RNA", at positions 29 to 510 of the family's 1533-position model. The record is from RNAcentral.
AAUGAACGCUGGCGGCGCGCCUAAUACAUGCAAGUCGAGCGAGAAGACGUAGCAAUACGUUUGUAAAGCGGCGAACGGGUGAGGAAUACAUGGGUAACCUACCCUCGAGUGGGGAAUAACUAGCCGAAAGGUUAGCUAAUACCGCGUACGCUCCUUGGACUUCGGUUCAGGGAGGAAAGCGAUACCGUGGGUAUCGCGCUCUUGGUUGGGCUCAUGUCCUAUCAGCUUGUUGGUGAGGUAACGGCUCACCAAGGCUUCGACGGGUAGCUGGUCUGAGAGGACGAUCAGCCACACUGGCACUGCGACACGGGCCAGACUCCUACGGGAGGCAGCAGUAAGGAAUAUUGCGCAAUGGGCGAAAGCCUGACGCAGCGACGCCGCGUGGGGGAUGAAAGUCUUCGGAUUGUAAACCCCUUUCGGGAGGGAAGAUGGAACGAGCAAUCGUUCGGACGGUACCUCCAGAAGCAGCCACGGCUAACUUCGUGCCA